Molecule: transfer RNA, 72 nt
Filed under: Sphaerodactylus townsendi
Lineage: Eukaryota; Metazoa; Chordata; Lepidosauria; Squamata; Sphaerodactylidae
Description: tRNA-Thr
Rfam family: tRNA
About the family: Transfer RNA (tRNA) molecules are approximately 80 nucleotides in length.
Source: RNAcentral
AGGGUUAUGGCUCAGUGGUGUAGCAUCUGCUUUGUAUGCAGAAGACCUCAGGUUCAAUAUCUGGUAUCUCUA